GGGCUCAACUUGGAGACUGCUUCUGAAACUGGUAGACUUGAGUGCAGGAGAGGGAAGUGGAAUUCCUAGUGUAGCGGUGAAAUGCGUAGAUAUUAGGAGGAACACCAGUGGCGAAGGCGACUUCCUGGCCUGUAACUGACACUGAGGCGCGAAAGCGUGGGGAUCAAACAGGAUUAGAUACCCUGGUAGUCCACGCCGUAAACGAUGAGUGCUAGGUGUCGGGGGUAUCGACCCCCUCGGUGCCACAGCUAACGCAAUAAGCACUCCGCCUGGGGAGUACGGUCGCAAGACUGAAACUCAAAGGAAUUGACGGGGGCCCGCACAAGCGGUGGAGUAUGUGGUUUAAUUCGACGCAACGCGAAGAACCUUACCAAGGCUUGACAUCCUGUGACAGCUAUAGAAAUAUAGACUUCUUAGUUUACUAAGACACAGAGACAGGUGGUGCAUGGUUGUCGUCAGCUCGUGUCGUGAGAUGUUGGGUUAAGUCCCGCAACGAGCGCAACCCCUACAGCCAGUUGCCAGCACAUAAAGGUGGGAACUCUGGCAGAACUGCCGUUGACAAAACGGAGGAAGGUGGGGAUGACGUCAAAUCAUCAUGCCCCUUAUGUCUUGGGCUACACACGUACUACAAUGGCCUGAACAGAGGGAAGCAAAACUGCGAAGUUAAGCGAAUCCCUUAAAACAGGUCCCAGUUCGGAUUGUAGGCUGCAACUCGCCUACAUGAAGUCUGAAUCGCUAGUAAUCGCAGUCAGCAUACUGCGGUGAAUACGUU
RNAcentral lists this ribosomal RNA (772 nucleotides) under uncultured bacterium. Its description in RNAcentral is "bacterial SSU rRNA". It matches the Rfam family "Bacterial small subunit ribosomal RNA", at positions 605 to 1372 of the family's 1533-position model. The record is from RNAcentral.